This is a long non-coding RNA of Bombus terrestris (buff-tailed bumblebee), 6243 nucleotides long. RefSeq lists it as uncharacterized. The record is from RefSeq and is a predicted model, not a curated record. Lineage: Eukaryota; Metazoa; Arthropoda; Insecta; Hymenoptera; Apidae. The transcript is spliced from 2 exons.
UAGACUUUCUACAAUCGAUUCUCAUUGAGAAUUAUAAGUAAAUUAUUUUGGCCUGGUACUGCAACCUUCUCAGAAUGUGACGUAAUAUUUUUUGUAUCUUGUUCGUAGAUUCGCUUGGAUCCGUUCGACGAUUCUCGUUCGUGGGUGAUCGGCGAUUCGACAGAAACCGCAGAAUGGACGAGCGAUCGAAAGGGAAACGCUAAGAGGACGUUGGUUCGAAGGGAGAAAGGUUCUUUUUGUCUCCAAAGUCGAGUGUCGCCUCAUUUAAAUAUUUAUCGCCUCUACUAGUUCGUACUGUCCAGCAGAGAAAUAUACCGAUCGCGUCCAACGUUUCGGCACGUCUCUGUUUUGCCUCAACGUCCGUAAAACACGCAUCGUUGGUGCACCUAACGUCGCCCAACCAAACUUCAAGCCCUUCUAAGCCUAAAAGGUAAGACGCCUUUUCGUAUCAAAUCGAUAUCAAACGAAACGAACGUUAUUCUCGUUUACUAUGCACAAGGUAUAGCUUCGGCUUCUGUUGCCGAUUUCUACUCGACGUUCUCUCUUUCCCAAAAUAUUGCGAUUGGCUAAUGUUUAUAAACGUAAUUACGAUAUUAUACGUAUAAUAAUAAUAAUUUUACGCUUUGAUAAUCGCAGCCAAAGUCAGGCUGACGUGACACGCUCCGUGAUGAAAGCGAUACGCACGAACAUGUUGUACGUCUACGGCGGAUCGUAAGUUUGACUGGCGAUCUGCGGGCGAAAUUUUCUUGUACCGUCGCUCUGGUUUUGCUUAAUCUCUUUCGAUGGUUCGAAAGCAACGUUUCGGCGGGGAGAGUAGGAUCUCCCCUUUGAAACGAUAACAGAGAACGCGAGACACAGGACGAGAGGGGUGCAUUUCAAUUGAUCCGUCGCUAUCGUCAGCAGGGUUCGUUGACCAACAUUAUCGUAUACAGUGACGUGCACGCGAACCCUUCUAGAAAAUAAUACGCCGAGAGUGUCCUUGAACCAUCAUCGUUUCCUCGUUAAAAUCAUUUACGAUCCUUUGCUUUUGAUCUUUCGUUUCUGCCACCUUAUCUAUCCGUUUUGCCUUCUCCAUCUCUCGCCUUUCUUUCGUUUUAUUCCUCCCAAUCCGUCUUCGUAUAUCGCAUUGCCAACUAAGUGAUUGCGGAUUUUGUCAUUAGGCGAUAUCGACAAAAUCCGCAUUCACUUAGUUGCCAAUCCAAUAGUUUCGCCAUAGUUUUGUGAUCGCGCCCGAUUAAGCUACGAAAGUACAGUCGCUCGAGUCGAAUAUUUCGUGGAAAAAUCGUUGCAUAAUUUCGAAACGUAGGCUGUGACGUUACACGUAGAAUAAAUUCGAAAUUCCACUUCUUCGAGCCUCGUACUCGCUUACGCUAUUUUCAUAAUACGUUAGCACGGGUACAGUUUAGUAUAGUUCGGUGUAGUUGUCGAAUAUCGUCAUCGAUUUUACGAUGGUAGGAAGACUAUUAUUUGAUAGUGGUAUACGGUACUUAUUAAUCGCAGCAGUCGGCAAUGGAGUACAAAUGGACUUGGUCUCGCUCCUACCACGUUUUACCGAUCUCAAAUUCUUGUUCGAGCCUGUCGUAUCAAUUCCGCUGUUCUUAAGAUUCUCGCAGAAUCACUCUUAUUUCUAUCUUUUCAUUAUUCUUGUUACUAAUUUUUCUCCACUUUCAAGCUACUUGCAAAGUGCAACGUACGCUGUAUCCAGAUAUUUUUGUUUAACGAACGCUCAGUUUCCUCUCGUUUCUUAGCACCUGUGAUAGGAGCUUUUGCAUCGUGCUAUAUUUAACUCCGUUACACCACCUCUUUGAGAUUCUUUUACAGUUCUACGUAGCAAGACGUUAUCUAGUAUUGUUUUCACGGGCGGAAACGAGAGUCGUCCCGGAGCGAGAAAGUCGAUCGGGAAAGAAAGCUGAGUCAUACAGGAAGGAUUCAUCUCAUCCCUCGUCUUACUCAUCCGGCGCUGUUUUUCCAGUUAAUUUAUUUUAUUUAUUUCGCAUACGAGAGAGAAUUCGCGUCAGAUCAACGAACAGUCAGUGUGCAACACGAUGGCACGGAAGAAUUAAAACUUUUUUUUAUAUAUCGUACAAUACGUUUUGAAAUUUCAUUGGCAUUGUAAUCUUGCUAUCACGACUCUGUCGGUAAAAUUGGAAACGAAUCUGAAAAUUUCUAUAGAAGUUACGAGAUAUUUGGCGGAAACGCACAUUUGAGAAAGAUCAUCGAGAUAUUUGAACAAUAAAUCGUUCGCUAUAUUAAUAAUCCAUAACCCGUAGUUAGACCAUUUUUGCCAUUAAUCGUAUGUUUCCAGGCUACUGUUCACGCUGUAUGUUAAUUUCUCGCUAAAGUGUAUUUUCGCGAUGAGUGUCUUGUUAUAGUUUCUAUAUACAUUUCCACGUUGGUCUCAAGUUCGCGACUCUGUCGGUAAAAUUGGAAACGAAUCUGAAAAUUUCUAUAGAAGUUACGAGAUAUUUGGCGAAAACGCACACUUGAAAAGAUCAUCGAGAUAUUUGAACAAUGAAUCGUUCGCCAUAUUAAUAAUCCAUAACCCGUAGUUAGACCAUUUUUGCCACUAAUCGUAUGUUUCCAGGCUACUGUUCACGCUGUAUGUUAAUUUCUCGCUAAAGUGUAUUUUCGCGAUGAGUGUCUUGUUAUAGUUUCUAUAUACAUUUCCACGUUGGUCUCAAGUUUCGCGACUCUGUCGGUAAAAUUGGAAACGAAUCUGAAAAUGUCUAUAGAAGUUACGAGAUAUUUGGCGGAAACGCUCACUUGGAAAGAUCAUCGAGAUAUUUGAACAUUGAAUGAAUCGAUUUGAAGUUUCGCUACUGUAUAAUCGCGAUAGUCGUGUAUCGGUCUAUAUCGGUACUAACGAAAUAUUAAAAAGUUUCGUAGAAAAAGCGUGCGAAUACUUUUACUAGCUGUACGAAAAGUAAGAGAAGGUUGAAGAAAAUAGGAGAUGAUAGAGAAAAAGAGGAGAAAAGAGUCGUGGGACCAAGAACGAAUCUCUCGUCAAGCUUUUUCAAAAUCACCGACAAUUCGAACGAGACGUGUGAAGAUGUUCGCUUUGAGCGUAAGGUAGCCAGUCGGAACUAAUAAACCAAUAACGAUCGUUUUUUUCGUUCCUUCCGUAUAUUCGAUGUCGUUUAUUUGAUGCGAUGAUAAACGAAAUUAAUAGAUAGUUUCCUAGGUCAACGAUGCAGGAGGGCCAAUUUAUUUGCAACCUUGAACCAUCCCGGGACUCCAUUACCAAUAACAUCCAUCGUAAUUAUUGUCCGCUUCGUUUGUCAAGAAUUAAUGGUCUGAAACAGCGUAUAUCGUAUCGUUUGCUAUAUCGUGUUUCAGAUUGAAAUUGAAUUAUACGAAAGCGUAGUUCGUCCGCCCACUGCGCUGUGGCGCUCAAAUUCGCGUUACUUUUCUUUUUCGUUUAAUAUCACGCAGCAUCCGUUAAUCCUAAUGAGCAAGUGGAACGUUGGGAACGUCGAGGACUUAGUAAGCAGCUGUUUCGGCUUAUUGUGCUUUUCCUAUAAUAGCAUGAAACACGGUAUUACGGUAUAGCAUUGUUAUUAUCUCGAUGCGAUUCAACGAGAUAUACGUUGUAUAACGUUACAAAUUUCCUUCUUUUUGCGAUAUCGCCCAUUCGUUAGUUCGUGAUUUAUCGAAUAAUAAUUCCCAUAAGAACAAAGAUACGCCGUUGCACGGAUGUUGUAGAAACGACUAAGCGAAUAAAUUUCACGCGGUACAACACGAGUGAGAUUCGAUGUGAAAAGGACAGACGGAGAAGGAGACGUAAAAUUCAAUGUGAAAAUAGGAAAGAAUGGAAAAUAUGGAACAAGCUAGGAUCGUGUUCGUUCGUUGCAUAUUUUAUUAGAAACUGGGACAUUGUUCGUAUUUGACGCAAUUUCGACGAUUCCACUAUGCAUCUCAAGUCUGUAUUCCUUCACAGAGGAAUGCCCAUUUCUUCUUCAAUUUCUACAUUCCGUUGUUCCUUCUUCCUUUACGCGGUAAGAUGGUAAUAAAUAAGUUAAUAAAUAAAAAGAAACUAUCUUCAACUUAGUCACAGGCGAGUUAAGAUGCUAAAAAAUGUAUGGAGGAAACGUAGAAUUCUCUACUUCGUGUAAAAUCUACCAGCAGAAUUUAAUCUUAACUUCGACCACUACCGCAGACAAAGAUGAUGAGAAGGAGAUCGCCGAUGAGCUUGGCAGAAAUUCGGCCGAAAGUGCGCUUCACUAACUAGCGCUUCUAGCGGUCAAACGUCUGAACUAUACGCAUAUUACUACACCACGAUACUCUCGGUGGUAUAAACGUGACCCUGACGACCGGCUGUACAGAGUUGGCCGAAAACAGGCUCGUAUUCUUAGUGACGCUUCGAAAACAAGCGGCAAUACGUUGCACCGUACUUCGAGCGCUUAUAAUCUUCAUUCUCACUUUCGUAUAAGAAGACUUGUUUUAUCUACACUAGUCAGGUAACGGAAUCAAGUUAUUGUAAAAUCGUACAUUUAUUACAAACCUGCAAAUUCAUUUGAAUAGAACAAAGCCAUUUUCCAAAUGAACGAAGCAUCUGAUUAUUCAGAACAUAAGAGGUAUCCGAAACCCUUUGAAAUUCCUGGAAAUUACGGCAUUUAAUGACGUCAUAAAUAACGAAAUAGAAGGUGGCACAAAUUUUCCGAUUUUCGGAAAUAAAACCCGUCUCACGAGUAUAUCGAAGAAAACGACUUGGCAAACUUUUUGAUUGUUUCAUUUUUGUAUCAGGGGAAGAAAGCGUCGUAGCAGGGGCUUCAAGUUCGCCGAUUCUUGGAAACAAAGUUUCUUCCACGAAUUUAUCACAACCGCGAUUCGACAAAUUUUUUCAUUGAUUGUUUCGUUUAUAUAUCAGGAGAACAAGACGUAGCAGGGGCUACAAGUUCGCCGAUUCUUGGAAAUGAUAUGCUAUUUUCAAGGAAUUUUCGUAAGCUGGUUUGCUGUCUUUUUUCAUACGAUAUUUCGUUUAAUUAUACGUGGUCUUAACCACUUCUCAAUUUCAUUUGUUGAUUUUGUGUGACUUUUUCCGGGAUAAAUAACAAGAUCGAACAAUGCUAUCGAACUAUACUGAUUUGUUCAAACUUUCUCUAAAUACAUUUUUUACAAUUAUUUUGCAAUAAAUUAUCUAAUUUUUUAUGUUAAUUAUAUUAUACUAUCAUUUCCAAGAAGAUCGUUGUUGCCGGUUAGUUGAUGGAUAAUAUUGGCAGCAGUUGACUGUUUGUGGCAUCAUGCUUGUAUCUGUCCGCAAAAUGGCUUUUUUUUAUAUAUACAAAAAACUGCUUAUUCCUAUUUUUUAAUUAAACUUUGUUAAUCAUCUAGUUAGACAAACUUUUUUAAAACUAAAAAUGUGGGGGAAUAUGGUAACACUAAAAAAUUCCAAUUAGGAAAAUCUCCAUUAAUCACUGAAAUAAAUUUACAUCAUUUGUAUGUCUUUUAUUUGUUAAAGGAAAUGCUCGAUUUCUGAUAUAAUCUCGCGAAUCAAAAUAUAAUCGUAAAAUUUAUCUCUAAAAAAACUAGUUUGAUAAUUAUUAGAAAAAGAUGAUUGUUAAAAGUUGGCAUAUUAUACUAUAGCUACAAGGUAUUCUAUAAAAAUCGUUUAUCUUUGAAAUUAUCGCGGUCGUCUACGACAACUUACGUCUACAACUACGUCGAUAACUGUUCUUUUGUAUGUGCGCUAUCUGUGCUGUUACUUACAAGAUACACGUAUUACCUACUGUCGAUAAAGUUAUAAUACCAUUUAAAAAGUCAUAAAAAUGUACCAGAAAAGAAAUUUGCGGGAUAUUUUCGAUAUACGUUUCAAAGUCAAGUAUUUCGUUGAUGUAAAAUUUAUAUUUUAUUUACGAAAAAUGUAAGAAACUUUCAUAACCAAUUACAAAGCAUCGGUAUAAGACAAAAAUGCAUCGUAAUACUGCGAAUGUUGCAAAGAGGGCGUGAAGUACUCUGAAAUAUCUUAUUUUUAUGUAUGAUACACGAUACAUAUUUAUAAUAGGAAAACUUUCUCUAUCUUCUUUUACAUACUAAGAAACAAAUAUUUUUACGUUUUCACUGGCCCUCCUAGAUAUGCAUUAAUAUGAUCAUAUAUGUUUAUUAAAAAGAAAGAUCAUACUUGAGUCUUGUAACAAAUACAAAAGUGUCGUUAGACAGAGUGAAAACUUAUGUGGAGAAAGCAAUACAGAAAAGAUAGUAAUAACAUACGAUACAAGAUGCAAAUAAAUUAUAGAUCGUAUUAUU